Long non-coding RNA from Terrapene triunguis (Three-toed box turtle), 289 nucleotides. RefSeq lists it as uncharacterized. NCBI's taxonomy places the organism in Eukaryota, Metazoa, Chordata, Testudines, Emydidae. The record is from RefSeq and is a predicted model, not a curated record. The transcript has 3 exons.
GUGCCCUAGACGUCGCUUCCGCCCUCUUCAGGUCAAGUAAGGGAGGGUUUCAGUAGCUGUUCUUCUCCUCCUCCCUGUCCAACGUCACUUCCGCUCCCUGCAGAGUCAGGAACUACAUCUCCCAGACUGCUCCGGGAAGUGCUUCCGCCCUCUUCAGCUCAGGCUGCAGAAUGACGUCCAUGUUUCGCUCCAGCUCAUCCCAUCCUCCCGUGGGACAGGGGAGAGAAAUGGCUGCAGUGGAACCAGUUCAGGGGCCGGUGACCUUCGAGGAGGUGGCUGUGUAUUUCAC